Molecule: ribosomal RNA, 319 nt
Filed under: uncultured eukaryote
Lineage: Eukaryota
Description: partial 18S ribosomal RNA
Rfam family: Eukaryotic small subunit ribosomal RNA
Source: RNAcentral
CCCCUAGAUGUUCUGGGCCGCACGCGCGCUACACUGAACAGUUCAACAAGUCUUAACCUUGGCCGAUAGGUCUGGGUAAUCUUUGAACGCUGUUCGUGAUUGGGAUAGACCUUUGCAAUUAUGGGUCUUCAACGAGGAAUUCCUAGUAAACGCAAGUCAUCAGCUUGCAUUGAUUACGUCCCUGCCCUUUGUACACACCGCCCGUCGCACCUACCGAUUGAAUGGUCCGGUGAAAUCUCGGGACGGCGGCUUGGUCGCUUGCGUCCGACUGCUGAAACUUGAUUAAACCAUACCAUUAGAGGAAGGUGAAGUCGUAACA